RNAcentral lists this ribosomal RNA (599 nucleotides) under Pseudoplatylabus apicalis. RNAcentral's name for it is "eukaryotic LSU rRNA". It matches the Rfam family "Eukaryotic large subunit ribosomal RNA", at positions 417 to 780 of the family's 3401-position model. The record is from RNAcentral. Lineage: Eukaryota; Metazoa; Arthropoda; Insecta; Hymenoptera; Ichneumonidae.
AAACCUGAGAAACCCGAAAGAUCGAAUGGGGAGAUUCAUCGUCAGCGAUUUCGGUGCUCGUGCGACUCGCGAUGUGCGGGACCUCGGUCCAGCGGCACGCGUUCGCAUGUUUUUCAUUGCCGAAAUCGUCGGCGUGCACUUCUCCCCUAGUAGGACGUCGCGACCCGUUGGGUGUCGGUCUACGGCACGGCAGGACAGCCUGUCUCGCGCGCGCUUCACGGCGUCGCGCGGGGCAGACCUCCGUUCGCCCGACCGGCUGCCCGGCGGUACUCGCAAGGUAUCUGGCCGCAGACAUUCGAACUGCGUCCGGCCCGUCGCAAGCGCGGCAAGUGCUCUCCCGGUCGUACGGAUCUGACGCCGUCACCGGGCCUUGUCAGCUGUUGGCAGACGGUGUCCUCGGACAGGCUAAGAUACCGGUCAGCGACGCUACUGCUUUGGGUACUUUCAGGACCCGUCUUGAAACACGGACCAAGGAGUCUAACAUGUGCGCGAGUCAUUGGGAUCUCGUAAGCCUAAAGGCGCAAUGAAAGUGAAAAAUUCAAGGGAGGAUGGGGCGCGUCACGAUGCGCCUCCGCACUCCCGGGGCGUCGAGUUCUCAU